RNAcentral lists this long non-coding RNA (1089 nucleotides) under Homo sapiens (human). RNAcentral's name for it is "HSALNT0078400". Lineage: Eukaryota; Metazoa; Chordata; Mammalia; Primates; Hominidae. The record is from RNAcentral.
UGUCACUCUCUACCCACCGAAUUUCAGAGCUAAGCACUGUGGUGAGUUAAUUAGAAAAGAAAGCUAUUUGGAAAAGGGUUCGUAAGUAGCUGCAAAACAUAUUUUCAAUUACUUCCAAAUAGAACAUUUUCCCCCACAGUUUGCAAGAGGCGUUCAUUAUUUCUUUGGUAAAAAGAAACCCUUCAAAACUCGUUAAAGGAAAGAGGAGUAAAGUCAGUAGUAGUCUUUUCUCUCUCCAGCCUUGUGGCAUGGUGAUUUAGACAGGUGUGGAGCUGUGCUGAAAUAUAGUUUGCCUCUGAAAUUAUUUCCUCAGCAAAGGACAGAGCCUCAGGAGGGGGCUGGCAUUUAAAGCUGUUCCCAGAGAUGCAGGGAAAUCCCACAUCCAGCCCUCUCAACAAUACCUCAGAAAGGACCCUUUGCGUAUAAAGGAAGCAUUGAUGACUUAAAUUUCAUUUUCUUGAUUUAACAGGCAUUUUCAAUCAUGAAACAUACAUGCGAACCUUCUAAUUGGAUUGCCAAGGUGAAAGAAAACUAAAGAAAUACCAGUGCAGAAAGGAAGUUCUUUAUUUUCAGGUUGCUCAAGCUAAAACAAUAAGCAGCAUUUCAUGGAUGACUGGCAUGUCGCCUUUUACUCCUCAAGGCAGACUCAAGAGUUUUCCCAGAAACAGAGGACGAGGCAAGUUAGUGUGAUACCUGAAGGCAGAGGGCGACCCUUUGACGUCUCAGGGCCAUAUAUCAGUUCCCUAACAGUGAAGCCCACAACAAGUAAUACUAGUUUGUAAUUUCUGAUAAUGACACAUGGAUUUCUGCCUAAUAUUAAUGAUCCAGUAAUUAAAAAUUUUCCUAAAAUUUUAUGAAAUGAAUCCAAACUUAUAGGUAGGAUGACUACGUAAAUAAUAGCAAAGCAGUGACCAAAAAUGCUGAGAGAAAAAAAGCAUGGGGAACAAAACCUAACAAAGAAUAUUUGUUUAUUAUCAGAGAUAAAUAAUAUAAAAUCAAAUUAAUUUACUUGUUUUUGAAAUUCAUUUUUGAAAAAGAACAAAAAUUACACACACAAAAAAGAAGCAGUAGAAUUAACACCUCAUUUUU